RNAcentral lists this ribosomal RNA (481 nucleotides) under uncultured bacterium. RNAcentral's name for it is "partial 16S ribosomal RNA". It matches the Rfam family "Bacterial small subunit ribosomal RNA", at positions 28 to 507 of the family's 1533-position model. The record is from RNAcentral.
GAUGAACGCUGGCGGCGUGCUUAACACAUGCAAGUCGAACGAAGCCCUCUGUUUGAUUUCCUUCGGGGCUGAUUAUUUUGUGACUGAGUGGCGGACGGUUGAGUAACGCGUGGGUAACCUGCCUUGUACAGGGGUAUAACAGUUGGAAACGGCUGCUAAUACCGCAUAAGCGCACAGCAUCGCAUUAUGCAGUUUGAAAAACUCCGGUGGACUAAGAUGGGCCCGCGUUGGAUUAGCUAGUUGGUGAGGUAACGGCCUACCAAGGCGACGAUCCAUAGCCGAUCUGAGAGGAUGACCAGCCACACUGGGACUGAGACACGGCCCAGACUCCUACGGGAGGCAGCAGUGGGGAAUAUUGGACAAUGGGCGAAAGCCUGAUGCAGCGACGCCGCGUGAGCGAUGAAGUAUUUAGGUAUGUAAAGCUCUAUUAGCAGGGAAGAUAAUGACGGUACCGGAAGAAGAAGCACCGGCUAAAUACGUG